Molecule: small nuclear RNA, 102 nt
Filed under: Peromyscus maniculatus bairdii (prairie deer mouse)
Lineage: Eukaryota; Metazoa; Chordata; Mammalia; Rodentia; Cricetidae
Source: RNAcentral
GUGCUCACUUUGGUAGAACAGACACUAAAAUUGGAGCAGUACGCAGAUUAGAAUGGUCCCUGCACAAGGUGACGUGAAGUUUGUGAAGCAUUCCAUUUUUAU